RNAcentral lists this ribosomal RNA (496 nucleotides) under Fusarium sp. CPK3332. RNAcentral's name for it is "eukaryotic LSU rRNA". The stretch from base 121 to 274 matches the Rfam family "5.8S ribosomal RNA". Lineage: Eukaryota; Fungi; Ascomycota; Sordariomycetes; Hypocreales; Nectriaceae. The record is from RNAcentral.
AACAUACCUAUACGUUGCCUCGGCGGAUCAGCCCGCGCCCCGUAAAACGGGACGGCCCGCCCGAGGACCCUAAACUCUGUUUUUAGUGGAACUUCUGAGUAAAACAAACAAAUAAAUCAAAACUUUCAACAACGGAUCUCUUGGUUCUGGCAUCGAUGAAGAACGCAGCAAAAUGCGAUAAGUAAUGUGAAUUGCAGAAUUCAGUGAAUCAUCGAAUCUUUGAACGCACAUUGCGCCCGCCAGUAUUCUGGCGGGCAUGCCUGUUCGAGCGUCAUUUCAACCCUCAAGCUCAGCUUGGUGUUGGGACUCGCGGUAACCCGCGUUCCCCAAAUCGAUUGGCGGUCACGUCGAGCUUCCAUAGCGUAGUAAUCAUACACAUCGUUACUGGUAAUCGUCGCGGCCUCGCCGUAAAACCCCAACUUCUGAAUGUUGACCUCGGAUCAGGUAGGAAUACCCGCUGAACUUAAGCAUAUCAAUAAGCGGAGGGAAAGAACCA